AGCCAUUGGCAUAGUGGUUUGAGCAUUGGACUACGACUCUGGAGAGCAGGGUUCGAAUCCCUGCUUGGCCA
Phrynosoma platyrhinos (Desert horned lizard) is the source of this 71-nucleotide non-coding RNA. NCBI's taxonomy places the organism in Eukaryota, Metazoa, Chordata, Lepidosauria, Squamata, Phrynosomatidae. The record is from the annotation of a GenBank genome assembly.